AGGAGCCCCAGGAGCACUUGUUAGUGAAUGAACUUAAUGUCCAACAUGGUAUUUUUACAGCUGAGAAGCUCUUGAGCCCUUGUUGGUGACCUCGGGAAGGCUAUCAUCUGGGAGUUCAGGCUGCCAGUCCAGCAGCUGGUCUCUUGGCUUUCAUACCCAGGCUGACUGAGUUCUGAUCAUCUCCUAGGAGGGUCCUUCCUUCCAGAGGCUGGGAACUCCCAGACAGCCGAGGAGAAACCUCAGUCAUCCUCAGCUCCCUCAGCAAGACAGACGUCCUGCCAUCAUGGAGUCCACGGGGCCCCCACGCACUGGAUAUUUUAUUCAAUGCUGCAUUUCCCACUGUGGGGUUUGUCCCCUAAUGGAUGAACUUACAGGUAUCAGGGAAUAUUGGGAGGCUGGGGGCAGAGGGGCCACUCACACUCCUGCAGUGGGUUAGAAUCCUCCCCUGUGUGGAGAAACUUGGCUCCUAUCUUGCCCUAGAGGUCCUUCCUUGUCUCAGUUUCACCUCAUUUCAAAGGUGAAUUGGAACCUAUGCCAGCAAACCCACUGAAGGCUCCCUCCUCUGCUGUUACCAUCUGAGGAGCCGUGGGAAUGGGAGGGGGCACUCUUCUUAAACUGCAGCCCUGGGCAUGUAGCCCUGCCACUUCCCCACAGCAUCUCUCUCCUGCCACAAAAGGACACAUAGAUCCCUUUAGAGGUAUCCGCUUUGCUCAAGUAGGAGUCAUCUCAGGGCAGCCACGGCGUCUGGGUUUCCAGCUUUGUGUUCUCAGCCACAUAGAAAUCUGCCUUCUCCUCCAAGUUCCUGCCUGCAUCACCAAAGGCCAACAGCCUCUAUCCUCCGGUCCCUGGCGAAAUCGUCUUUCUGAUGGAAACAGGAAUCACACCCUGGUUCAUGUGCUAUUUCGGAUGAUCCAGAGUCCCCAUGACAGGUGCGCCCUGGACUCUGCUGUCUCCAGCCCCGCUUUGAAGAGCUGCCUCUUCUGAGCUGGCCCACUUCCACCUACAAGUACCAGCAGGCAUUGAAUUCUGGAGGUUGCGGAUCCCUGCUUUAAGAGAAGGCUUGGGGGACUUCCCUGGUGGUCCAGUGGCUAAAGACUCUGUGCUCCCAGUGCAGGGGGCUCCGAUUCAAUCCCUGGUCAGGGAACUAAACCCCACAUGCCCCAACUACAGAUCCAGCAUGCUGCAAUUAACACCCAAAGCAGCCA
This 1205-nucleotide long non-coding RNA is filed under the name Bos indicus x Bos taurus (hybrid cattle). RNAcentral describes it as "lncRNA (ENSBIXG00000023512.1)". Lineage: Eukaryota; Metazoa; Chordata; Mammalia; Artiodactyla; Bovidae. The record is from RNAcentral.